Non-coding RNA from Pelobates cultripes (western spadefoot toad), 298 nucleotides. The record is from the annotation of a GenBank genome assembly. NCBI's taxonomy places the organism in Eukaryota, Metazoa, Chordata, Amphibia, Anura, Pelobatidae.
AGAAAAUUCACCUAAUUAUCUAAUUCUAUCAACAAUGAAUUAUAUGUACUAUUACUCCACUACCUUGAAACCUCUCGUAGAUCAUAAUAUUAUAAUUUAACACUGUAUAAUUUUACUUUUAGAAUCUUUCAAACCCACCUAGUUAAAGUUGUGCAUGGGAGACACACUGAGCACCCUAUAUUCAAUUUGUGCCAGACGUUAGGACACUAAUAUAAAGAUGUGGAACUGCACUCAUUCGAAAGUAGUAUGUAUCCUGGUGCAAUCAGGCCAGUCCCAGUACCAGGAACCAAACAUAGGA